ACACAUGCAAGUCGAGCGGUAGAGAGAAGCUUGCUUCUCUUGAGAGCGGCGGACGGGUGAGUAAUGCCUAGGAAUCUGCCUGGUAGUGGGGGAUAACGUUCGGAAACGGACGCUAAUACCGCAUACGUCCUACGGGAGAAAGCAGGGGACCUUCGGGCCUUGCGCUAUCAGAUGAGCCUAGGUCGGAUUAGCUAGUUGGUGGGGUAAUGGCUCACCAAGGCGACGAUCCGUAACUGGUCUGAGAGGAUGAUCAGUCACACUGGAACUGAGACACGGUCCAGACUCCUACGGGAGGCAGCAGUGGGGAAUAUUGGACAAUGGGCGAAAGCCUGAUCCAGCCAUGCCGCGUGUGUGAAGAAGGUCUUCGGAUUGUAAAGCACUUUAAGUUGGGAGGAAGGGCAGUUACCUAAUACGUGAUUGUUUUGACGUUACCGACAGAAUAAGCACCGGCUAACUCUGUGCCAGCAGCCGCGGUAAUACAGAGGGUGCAAGCGUUAAUCGGAAUUACUGGGCGUAAAGCGCGCGUAGGUGGUUUGUUAAGUUGGAUGUGAAAUCCCCGGGCUCAACCUGGGAACUGCAUUCAAAACUGACUGACUAGAGUAUGGUAGAGGGUGGUGGAAUUUCCUGUGUAGCGGUGAAAUGCGUAGAUAUAGGAAGGAACACCAGUGGCGAAGGCGACCACCUGGACUGAUACUGACACUGAGGUGCGAAA
RNAcentral lists this ribosomal RNA (712 nucleotides) under Pseudomonas sp. RNAcentral's name for it is "bacterial SSU rRNA". It matches the Rfam family "Bacterial small subunit ribosomal RNA", at positions 51 to 758 of the family's 1533-position model. The record is from RNAcentral. Lineage: Bacteria; Pseudomonadati; Pseudomonadota; Gammaproteobacteria; Pseudomonadales; Pseudomonadaceae.